AGACCGAUAGCAAACAAGUACCGUGAGGGAAGAUUGAAAAGAACUUUGAAGAGAGAGUUCAACAGUACGUGAAACUGUGUGGUGGUAAACGGAGGGGUUCUCGAAGUCUCUGUGGGGAACUCAACCUUGGUGUCGGGCAGUCGGGCUGUAUCCGAUCAGCAAUGACGGUGCGGUCUGUCUGGCCUGGCUCUCGGGUGCAUUUCCCCCGCAGUUUACGGCAGGAACCGUUUGGUGUGGACCAAAGGCCUCGGGUGAAGUUGUCGGUUAUGCUGGCAGCCCUGGGUGUCCUGGCUCUGCGCCCGACGGGUACGUGAGAGGACUCGUAUAGCGAGCAACGCUCUGUUGCGGUUCUCAUCUCUCUGCCGAGUAGGUCGGUGACCCCUCCGACCCGUCUUGAAACACGGAC
RNAcentral lists this ribosomal RNA (406 nucleotides) under Aetideus acutus. Its description in RNAcentral is "eukaryotic LSU rRNA". It matches the Rfam family "Eukaryotic large subunit ribosomal RNA", at positions 331 to 666 of the family's 3401-position model. The record is from RNAcentral. Lineage: Eukaryota; Metazoa; Arthropoda; Copepoda; Calanoida; Aetideidae.